AAAAUUCAACUCCUCAUAUCUUUCUAUAUAUGUGGAGUUAAGUUAAAAUUGAGGUCAGAUUCGUGCUCUACGUCAUUUUUCUUUCAGAUCAUUUCCUCCUUUUUCAUUUUCUUGAUGGUGAUGAGUGAACCAGUCGGCCAGGGUCACCGGAGAAGAUGACCGGCCUUUGACGCCAGCGAUGCGCUGGAAGUUUUCAGAGCAUUGAUUUGGUUCAAAUUGUUUAAUCUCACGCGUUGGUGUCCGGAUUACCAUUCAUCUGCGCAUUGACUUAAGUCCACGGUGGAAAGCGCGUUGAGGACCACUUGAUCUGCCACCUCAUUCAAUUAGUAGGGAGAUCAAGUGGUCCACGUUUUUUUUGUUAUUUCUGAUUUUCUUUUAUUCCUUUUAUUUUCAUUAAUUCAUAUUAAUUUAAUAUUGAUCCAAAAAUAUGAGAUUUCACAAGAAAAUUUCAAAAUAAUUUUCCUCUUUCAAUAUUCUGAAUUAAAAUUAUUUUUGGAUAUUAUUAAUAUUUUUCAUGAUUAAUUGAUUUUGAAUUUGUUUUUAAUUGUUUAAAAAUACUUUUAAGUCUUAAAAAUUCUGAAGUUUUUUCUCCAAGGUCAUUGGACCUUGUUUGACCUAUGAUAAAUCUCAUGGCCAUUUCUUUGUGUUUUGAUGAGGUUUUAGGAAUUUGACAAACCAUAUUUAAUUUAAAUGCCUUAUUUUAAUAUUUUUAAUUUGAAUAAAUGCCAAAUAAUUUUGUUGACGCAAUUGUGAUGACUUGUUUGAGUUUGACUCUUGUUGUGGGCCUUGGUCAAGUUGAUUUGCCUUGUCAAGUUAAUAUCAUUGAUUAGGGGGAUUGAUGGAAUGUACAUUCCAUCUCCCAAAAUGAAUGGAUGAGAUUAAUUUGGUAAAAGUCCCCUUUGAUCAAUUUGAGUUUUGAUCCAUUCCCUCCCCUCUUCAUCUCAUUCCCCUUCUUUAUGCAUUCAUUUUGAUUUGGCUAUGAUAUCUCAAAGUCCUAAGCUAGUUGAUUGAAAAAUUAACAUGAGUAUGGAUGAGAUUAGGCCCCCUUUUGCAUACUUUUUUGUGUGUUGGUAUGUUUCAUGAGCAUAGUCCAUUCUACUAUGUCUCUAACAUGCAUUAACACCAAAAUCUAUUGCCCGACCUCAAUAGUUGUGCUUCUAACUAGUCCAAUUACGAUUGCUUAACAUAGCGCUAAAAUUUGUGACACAAAAGACAUAACAUUCUAGUUAGUGAGAUGUAGUCUCCCCUCUUUCAUGGGUAUUGUUGGAAUGUUAUGUCUUUUGUGUCACAAAUUUAGCGCUAUGUUAAGCAAUCGUAAUUGGACUUAUGUAGAAGUCACAACUAUUUGAGGUCGGGCAAUAGAAUUUUGGUGUUAAUGCAUGUUAGAGACAUAGUAGAAUGGACUAUGCUCAUGAAACAUACCACACACAAAAAGAGUAUGCAAAAGGGGUGGCCUAAUCUCAUCCAUACUCAUGUUAAUUUUUCAAUCAACUAGCUUUAGGACUUUGAGAUAUCAUAGGCCAAAUCAAAUGAAUGCAUAAAGAAGGGGAAUGAGAUGAAGAGGGAGGGGAAUGGAUCAAAACUCAAAUUGAUCAAAGGAGGACUUUUACCAAAUUAAUCUCAUCCAUUCAUUUUGGGAGAUGGAAUGUACAUUCCAUCAAUCCCCCUAAAUCCAAUGAUAUUAACUUGACAAAGUCAAAUCAACCUUGACCAAGGCCCAACAACAAGAGUCAAACUCAAACAAGUCAUCACAAUUGGUCAACAAAAUUAUUUGGCAUUUAUUCAAAUUAAAAAUAUUAAAAUAAGGCAUUUAAAUUAAAUAUGGUUUGUCAAAUUCCUAAAACCUCAUCAAAACACAAAGAAAUGGCCAUGAGAUUUAUCAUAGGUCAAACAAGGUCCAAUGACCUUGGAGAAAAACUUUCAGAAUUUUUAAAGACUUAAAAGUAUUUUAAACAAUUAAAAACAAAUUCAAAAUCAAUUAAUCAUGAAAAAUAUUAAUAAUGAUCCAAAAAUAAUUUAAUUCAGAAUAUUGAAAGAGGAAAAUUAUUUGAAAUUUUCUUGUGAACUCUCAUAUUUUUUGGAUCAAUAUUAAAAUUAAUAUGAAUUAAUGAAAAUAAAAGGAAUAAAAGAAAAUCAGAAAAUAACAAAAAAACGUGGACCACUUGACUCCCUACAUGAAUGAGAGAUGGCAGAUCAAGUGGUCCUCACGCGCUUUCCACCGUGGACUUAAGUCAAUGCGCCAGAUUGAAUGGUAAUCCGGAACACCAACGCCGUGAGAUUAAAACAAUUGAACCAAAUCAAUGCUCUGAAAACUUCCAGCGCAUCGCUGGCGUCAAAGGCCGGUCAUCUUCUCCGUGACCCUGGCCGACUGGUUCACUCAUCACCAUCAAGAAAAUGAAAAAGGAGGAAAUGAUCUAUGAAAGAAAAAUGACGUAGAGCACGAAUCUGACCUCAAUUUUAACUUAACUCCACAUAUAUAGAAAGAUAUGAGGAGUUGAAUUUUGAGGUGUGUCAACUGAGUUGCUUCGAUUUGACCUCUAAGCAACUCAAUCUUCUUGCCUACAUUGGUAGGACUUCAGACAACCAAAGAUCUAAGAGAAUUGAGUGGAAUUGAGAGAGAAUCGAAGAGAUGAAAUUUUUUGGAAAAUACCUUCAAUGCAGGUCUGGAUUCAAUUGUACUUGCUUUGGCUCGUGCUUGAUCUUGCUCAGUAUGCUUACAGAAGUAGAUUAGAAUGCACAAAAGGUCUUGGAUCCCUGGAGUUUUGAAUCUCAAAACAGUGAGAUUCCAACUCAAUUUCCAAAGGAAAUUCUUAGGAUUAUCCUCUCAAAUGGAAGGGUUUGGUGUUUGGGAUCAAAGCUGGCGCGAAGGGGUCCCUAAUUCUGAGCAUUUGGAGCUCUAUUUAUAUCUGAAUCAUGUGAUAUUUGCACCUUCCAAAUGAGUUUCCAAAAUCGGAAAUGAGUGAUGCAUGUGCGCAUGGGCAUGUACAUGUUCAUGAGAUCAUUACAUUUGAUCCAUAAUUGAGUAUGAACAAGUCUGAAAUCAAAUUGGAGUGCUAGGCAAUUGUACAUGGAAGCUUGAAGUCUAAUUCUUGCCAAAUGAUGAUGCAAUGUUCAAGCCAUGCGCAACCCAUUCAACCCUUGUCCAAAAUGGAUGAAUUUGGACUUUUUGGAAAGGUUAAAUCAAGAGGAAUAACUUUCAUGUUCAACACUUUUCCAUUUGAAGCUUGUAUCAUGAUGAAUUUUGAGGUGGAAGUUUGGAAAUUUUAACAUAUCAAUUUUUUUCUAAGUGUCAAGCCAUAUAUCUCAAGAUUCCACCUUACUUAACUUUUUAUGUGAGCUUAAAAUGAGAAAAGUGUAUUCAUAAAACUUUUAGCUCUUUCAAAGACCUUGAAAAUGGUCACCGAUUUCAUGUCAUUUGGAUUUGAAAUGAUAGAGUUAUGCAUUUUUGAAGUUUGGAAAAAUCACUUGUUCAAUGGUAUAGGUCAAAAGUGACCUAUAAUGUAGCUUCAUAUCACAUGCUCAUAAAAAUUGAAUUAGCUCUCACUCCAAACAUAAAAGUUGAAUUAGACAUCCUGAAUUUGAUUGUUCAACUUGGAAAUCUUUCAUCUCAUAAAAAUUGAGCAAGUUAUGGGAUUGGGAAGUUGACUUUCAAAUUAGGGUUUAGACAAAAUGACCUAUAAUGUUUCAACAUAGAAAAUGAUUUUCCAAGAAAAACUAGCUCUAGGUAUCAACAUGAAAGUUGUUUGGAAUGCCAUUGAGAGUAACGUUGCUAUUGGAAUAAUUUUCAUAUGGUGAAAAUUGUAGGAGAUAGGGUCUAGGGAGACCCAGUUUUGAUCAGAUGAAUUCAUCUGGCCAACCACCAUCAACCAACUUGCUAACCUUCAAUUCUUUGGACUUUCUUGGAAAUUCAUCUGGCCAACCACCAUCAACCAACUUGCUAACCUUCAAUUCUUUGGACUUUCUUGGCUCAUGGUAGAUCAUAUAUGCAUAAGAUGAUGAAUUUUGAAGUGUCCCUUGAGAAAUUUUAUCAAAUGGCAAGAUAGCUUGUUGGAGAAGUUACUCAAGAUACCCAGUCAAACUAGGGUUUCCAGGACAAAUCACCCUCAAACUCUUCAAGAAUGAUUGAUCAAUAUAACAUGUAGGAAUCAAUGGAAAUAAUAUAUGAUGCUCAUACCAUUCUUGGAUCAAUUCAUGGUUGUGCUCUUUGUCAUGAGGGUCAUAAACCCUAUAUAUGAACUUGAUAUAUCAAUGGUGAUCAUGCCCUACCUACAAAAGAGUUAGGCAAACACAAAGACAUAUUUUUGUAUUUUGGUUAGUAAAAUGAUAAUAUACAAGUAUGAUACAAUCACAUAGUGCUUGGUGAUCUCUCCCAAGACAAACGCAAUGAAAGAGGGGUAAGGAGGAUGUCAAGGUAUGAUCCCAACGCUAAUGCUUAUGAUGAAAUUGCAUGAGGGAUCUUAGGGUCAAAAUUGGUGUCUUACACCUGACUCCAUGCUCGUGACUCAUAACAAACCCUUUGAUUCUUGGUUGAUACGAUCAAGUCUUGUCAAUAUCAAUGGAACUUGGGUGUUGAUAAGGUGAAAACCAUAAUCCACCAAAAUGGAUAAUUGAUCUUGAUGAUGACUUGAUCCGUCCCUUGACCUUUACUUGUGCUUGCCUUGUUUAUGAUCCCUUGUGUGUGAUUGUUACAUUCAUGUAUACAUGCGCAUCAUGACAUUCAUCACAGAAAAUAAAUUUCAAGGAACUAAGGUCUUGUUUGCAAAUGUUUUCAGACCAUGGAUUAUGGACGAAGGAACAUUAAGAAGUACAGUUUAAGAUGUCCUGAUUUGAAAGAGCUAAGGAAGUUGUCAUCCUUUGUAUUAGAUCCCUUGGACUUUAAGCAACGUCAUGGGAACCAUUUAUCUGUGUUAUCUGCUGAUAUGGUUGAAGGACUUCUGAGUGUGUUGGUUCAGUUUUAUGAUCCUCUCUACCAGUGCUUCACUUUUCCUGAUUAUCAGCUUGUGCCUACGUUAGAGGAGUAUGCCCAUCUCUUGGGAAUACCCGUAUCUGACAAAGUACCUUAUAGUGGAUUAAAGGAGAUUCCCAGAUCUCAUAUCAUAGCUGAAGCUCUUCAUCUGAAGAUAUAUAAGAUUGAUGCUCAUUUGGUGAAGAAAGGAGGUAUUUUUGGGUUGACUUCUGAGUUCCUCAUUGGUAAAGCUAUUUUUUUUGCUCAAGCAGGUAACAUGGAUGCUUUCGAAGCCAUAUUUGUAUUGCUCAUCUAUGGUUUAGCUUUGUUCCCUAACAUUGACGGUUUUGUUGAUGUUAAUGCCGUUUGAAUUUUCUUGAUUGGGAAUCCUAUUCCUACUCUGUUGGAUGACAUGUAUGUCUCUUUGCAUUUGAGGAAUUCUAAAGGUGGUGGGACUAUUGUGUGCUGUAUUCCUCUUCUGUACAAGUGGUUUAUUUUGCACUUGCCUCAGACGUUUGCUUUUUUAGAGAACAAGCAAUGUCUACGGUGGUCUUAGAGACUUAUGUCUCUCACUAAUGAUGAUAUUGUUUGGUAUGAUUCUGCAUUGAGUAGUGUGGACAUUAUUGACAGUUGUGGUGAAUUCACUAAUGUGCCUCUUGUAGCGGUGUAUUCGUCACCUUAUGAUUUAUUGACUAAAUCAAAAGCAAAGCAUACAAAAAUAGAGUCGCCACCGUACUUCUAUUUAUCCAAAGGAAUGGCUAGAAAGCGAACAAAAGCCUAUGAAGUUUUACACAGAGAAAACUAAUAAAAGGCCAGAGAUCUGGGUAAGGGGGUAAUUAUGCAAAGGGAAGGUGUUAGGCACCCAAUGCAUCCUAGGUACUCCUAGGGAACCUCUUUUCACAAAUGUUGUAUUAUUAUUUGUUUAUGAAAUAUUUUUGUGCAAACCAUGAUUGAAGGGAUGAGAAAAGAAUAUACAAUUUUUAUUAUUUUUGUGUUUGAAUGGAUGAACUCAUUGCCUACGUACCUUUUCAUGAAAGAUAAGGAUCAAAACGCCGUAGUUCGGCUAAAAGAUUUCCAAAAAGUGAGUGGAUUGAUUUUAAACAAGAACCUUAAGGUCUUUCAUUAUCAACGGGAGAAAACUCAACCUGAACCAACAAUCCACCAUGUGAGAAAAGCUUCGACAUGCUAGUGAGGGGUUAACCCUAUAAUAAGCAUGGAAGUCUUACAAUUCAAUCACUAAGGAUGCGGUGAGAUUUACAUCAACCACUAUAAUAAUUCAGAUAUAUGGCUAAUGUAUGAAAACUUGAUUAAGAGAGUGGACAAGGGCCACAAAAGCAAUUGAGUGAGUGAAAUUAACCAAUUAGAAUUAUUCACAAAGAAUGGUCAAAGUUGACAUUAGAUUCAAUUCAAAAGAAGUAUUGUGAAAAUGAAGUUUGAAAAUCAGAGGCUUAAGGCCUAGGUUUCUAGUUUUGAAAACAGAUGAAAAUGUUUGCACAAAGUUUUCUGGUUUGGGUUAAAGAUGAAAACAAGGUUCAAGGUUAAGCACAAAAGGGUUAAGGGACAAAAAACAGAUGAAAAUGUUUGCACAAAGUUUUCUGGUUUGGGUUAAAGAUGAAAACAAGGUUCAAGGUUAAGCACAAAAGGGUUAAGGGACAAAGCCACAAAUAGGAAUCGCUUUCUCAAAAUCAUAGGAAUGAUUCAAGGAAGUUCCUUUGGAAUUAGGCAACACAAGGCAAAAGCAAAUAAGCAAGCUCAAAGGAGCAACAAAACUGGAAAUGGAUUGCCAAUAAAUGGUCUUACGUCCAACUCCGGAAACAAAUGGGAAACGGAGUGCCAAUAAAUGGUCUUAUGUCCAACUCCACAAAGCGACAUGGGAAACAGAUAGCCAAUUAAUGGUCUUACGUCUGACUCCACAAAAAGAAAACAAGUAGGAAAUAGAUAGCCAAUCAAUGGUCUUACACCUGACUCCUCAAAACAAAACAAACACAGGAAACAAAUAGUCAAUCAAUGGUCUUACACCUGACUCCUCAAAACAAAACAAUAUAGGAGAUGGAGUGCCAAUCAAUGGUCUUAUAUCCAGCUCCCCAAAAGGAACAGGAAACAGAUAGCCAAUCAAUGGUCUUACAUCUGACUCCUCAAACAAAAAAAAUAACAAAUGCAAGAGCAAAAUGCAAACAAUAUGCAAAAGCAACAUGAAGGAUGCACAAGUAAGCAACCAAGCAAACAUAUCAAUCAAUUAUCACACGCUAUACACAACCAAGAGGCUCAUACAAGGCUGGGCUUUAGUUAAGGGGUCAUAUCAACCUCGACAAACAAGCCAGAUAUGUAAGGGUGUUUGGGCUCUUAACCACUGACAUUGACCGUCAGGGUGAGCAGAUGAAAUGGGAGAUGAGGGUUAGACCUCAUAGCUCUCAACCCUGGCCGGGGUGAGCUUGAAUCAAAGAAGGUGUGGGAGUCCAGAAUAAGGAACUCUACUCCACAAUGACUGACUCUAUAUACAAUGAUCUUGGGUGUUUAUUCAAAUGCAUCAGCACAUAGUGCGAGCAAUAUGAAAGACUCAACUGAAUAGCAGGGGAUGGAUUGCACAUCCCUCCUAUCUGCCAAUGCCUUCACUUAGGAGGUCUUACAAUGUAACCAUGCCUCACUGAGGUCUUUAGCACAAAAUUAAACAAUCAAGAAUGUGGCCUCUUAAGGAGGGCUUCAGACAGGUGCCUGCCAAAGAUAGCAGGUCUCCAGACUACAUGGAGUUAAGGAAAUACCAAGUGUUGCAACACCAAGCACAGCAAGCAACUCAAGUAAUGAGUUAAAGCUACUAAAGUACCUGUAAGAAAAUCAAACAAGUCAAUAUUCACAUUCAGACAAACUAAACAAACAGUCAACAGUCAGACAACCAAUAUACACAAUGUAAGUCAACAACUCAAGUGAAUUAGCCAUCCAAGGACCUACAACACAAUCAACAUUAGUUAAACAAAGCAAAUUGUAUCUCAAGCAAGGAGAUUACAUCAUCCAUUAGGAAUUAUUGCUUGAACCUGAAAUGCAAAGCUCAAAUUGUGAGUACAAACCCCUAAGGCAAAGCCUAGGGUCAAAGGUGAAGUAAAAAGUCAAAACAGCAACCAACAUUCAACAUGAAUCACAUUUAAUCAAGUAAGAACAUGUCCUAAAAAGGACCAAGCCAAAAGCAUUAAGCAAAGUCAUGUAGUGAGCAAGAGAAGACAAAGGCAAUUUCAAAGCACACAAUUGAACAUUAAGAAUCAAAAUUCCAUAUUAAAACAGAAAUGAAUCAAACAAUCCUGGAAAUUUUUAUGUGCACAUAAUAUGUCAAACAUAAUCACCAUGCCAAAAAUUAGAAUCAACAGAGUUCAAUUGACCUAGAAAUGAAAAUGCACAAGUAUGACAUCAAAUUGUGUGACACACAUUGUCACACCAAAAGUUUAUGUGUCUAAAACAGAAAUCAAAAAUGAUAAAAAUGCACCAUCAAGCCUCAAAGGUCAAGCAACAUGUUGGGAAUCAUCAUACAAAAUUUCAUGGCAAUUGGAUCAUUUUUGAGCAUUUCACACUAGAAAGAAUGAAGCAAUGUCACAAAUGCAUAUAUGAUCAAUCAACCAAUCACAAUUCAAAUUCCAGAGAUGAUAAAAUCAUGAAACCAUCACCAAAAGAUAAUAGACAAACACAUGAACAUUUUGCAAAAAAUUGGGAAUUAAUUGGAUAUGUUUUCAAUUUUAUAUGAUUUUUCAAAGUUGGAUAAAAUGUUUGAAAUAAAUGAGCAAACACAUGUUGAAAAUGGAGGGAAAGAUUAAAUGAUGAAUUAAUUUGAAAACAUGUCUCAGGCUGGAAUCGAACUCGGUGGCAAUUAAAUGAAGCGCUGAAACACAAAUAAUCCAGAAAUGUUCACGUUGGGAAUCGAAUGGGGGAAGGAUGAAACGCAGAGUUUCAUUAAUGCGUUGGCGUCCACGUCACUGAGUCAAAGGCCAUGUGGCUUGGUCAAAAGAACGCUGGCCAACGGAUACGCCAACGAUGUGCUUGCAUGGACAUGACCAUGCAAAGCCCUAGCGCUAAAACCAGAAGGCAGCGCUACAGUACCAGGGCGGCGCGCACGGUGGAAGCCACCGUCUUCUUCAUGAAGACGGUGGAGAAACAGUAACUUCAUGCAAGAAAUUUUCCAGAAUCAUGCAAUAUCUAUACCAAAUGAAAGCUCUUGCUACGUACAUUACAGAUCAAGCAAUAUCUAAGGCUAAUUCAUCAUGAAUCUUGAGAAUCGAUCAAAACAUUAUUGGAUACAAAACUUUAAAUCCACAUAACUCGGUCAAUAUUCAUCCAAAUCACAUGAAAUUUUCAUCAGCAUGCUCAGCAAGAGAAGGUCUACACUAUCAUGGCAAAAGAUUGGAGAAUUAAGAGCUUCGAAAAACCUACCUCUUGAAGAACAGUUUCUGGAAUCAACAGUUUCAAGGCCUGACACGAUUCAAAUCCACUCCUCUAUCACUGUUAUGAAGCUUUAUGAAGAAAUUGAGGCUUGGAGAGGCUUAGAUCUAGCUCAAAUAACAGUUUCCAUCUUCACCUUCAUGAGCUUGAUAUGCUUGAUUUCCACUCAAAUCCUUCAAAACAAAGUUUGAUCUGCACUAAAGGAGGGUCAGAGAACAAGAAUAUACAAGAAAAUCACUAGCUUAUGUGAAGAAAAUUUGAAUUUGGAUUGAGAGAAAAUUUUGGAGGGAAGAAGAAUUUAGAUCUAGAAAUGGUGAAGAUCCAGAAAUUCUGUUAAAAUUCUGUUAGGAUUUGGUAUAUAUACUCAGUCUUAAUCACAUCCUAAUUAAAAUUAAGCAUGGUUUAAUUGAGAUUAGUGAAAAUGGGGUGUGUGACCAAAAAUGACAAUUUGUGUGGUGCAUGGGAAAUGCAUACGUGAACAGUACCAAAUGGGAGCUCAAAUUCACUUAAAAUCUUCCAAUGAACACAAUGGCAAUGGUAUUUUGUCCAUACAAUGCACCAAUUUUAAAUUUAUCAUUUUCCCUCUAAAAUAGUCAUGAAAGAACAAAUGAUCAUGUGAUGAAAUUUCAUGCAAUGUGAUGAAUGAUUUGGAAAUUAGAGGUCAUGACAAGCAAAAUGCAAAAAGAGGCACUCAUUUUGGAGUUAUGAGUCAAAAGUUAUGGCCUUUUGAAGUUCCAUGCACACUUGGCAAUGAUUGGACCAUAUCUCCUCAACCAUUCAUCUGAUGCUCAUGAUCUUGGGCUUUUUGGAAAUGGGAGAGAGAGAUCUUAAACUUUCAUGUUGGACAAAAGUUCAUUUGAAGCUUCUUUGAUGUUGGAAAGUUGAGUUGAAGUUGGUCCAAAAACAUUCCAUUUUUGGAAACUUGAAAUUAUAGGUCACUUUCCAUUUUGGGAAACUUUUGUACUGGCUUCAAAUUCUUCAAUGUAGAUGUUUGACAUGAUGAAUAAGCAUUGUUGGCACAUGAAUGGGAUGAAGAAACUCAAUUUCCCAAUUCAAAAACCACAGUUGACUUUCAGUUGACUGGCAUAGGCCUUUAGAUGACCUGAAAAUGUUUUGAUGAACUUGGGCCUUUGCCACUUGGGGAAUUUGCUUCACAAUGGACCUCUAGCUCACAUAAGCUCAAAAUAAUGAUCACAUGAUCCAUAUCUCAAGGAAAACCUCAUCUCUUGCACAAAGGAUUCACUUGAUUGCCUUGACUUGUUGAUUGUUUAAGCUGCAAGACAAAGGUUAAUGACAUAUUUUUGUACAUUUUUGGUUAGUGAUUAAUAGAAAAGCAAUGAUACACAAAUGCAAGGAAUGCUUGGUGAUCAAGAAUUACUCUCAAGAAAGAUCCCACCCACAGGGAAGGAAGCAAGGUGUCCAAUGAUCCUUGAGGCAAUGCAAUGUUAUGAUAUGAUGCCAUGAGGGAUCUUAGGGAUAAAAUUGGGGUCUUACACCUCUCAUUGGUACACAAGGAGGAAUCAACUAUAACCCUGCUUUGAAUCGUCGUCAACUUGGGUUCUCCUUGAGAGAUAAACCUAAUAACACUCAGUUAGAAGGUCUAUUUUAUAAAGAGGGUAAUGAUCCUCAACAUUUGAAGCAAAAGAUGAUACAUGUGUGGCAUAAUAUGCAUAGGAAAGGAAGAUCUGAGCUUAGUCAGCGCAAAUGUGUAGCUCUGGGAGCUUACACUAUUUGGGUGAAGAAGAGAGCUUUGGAGCUGAAGAUGCCAUACGCUUGUGAAAGAACUAUAUCUAUGGUUAUGGCUGAGCCAUCAACUCUCCCUAACCAAGAUAUAGAGGAGUUGGAAGACGCACUCACCAAGAUGAAGCAAGAGAGAGAUAUGUGGGAAGAGCGGUUCCAUACUUUGAGCUGAAAGCAUGAGGAGUUGUAGCUUGAGUCAAAAGACAAGGAUGCACUUAUUGAGAUUCUUGAAGACCGAGCAGUGAAAAGACAGAGAGAUCCAGAUGGUCUACCUUCCUCUAUUAUGCCUCAGCCUUCCAGUGCUUGGAAGAAGAUUAUUGAUCAGCUAGUUCUUGAGAAGGCUCAGAUGAAGAUAUCCUUUGAGUUUGAGAUUCUACACAUCCGAAGGAAGUAUUCACAAUAGCCAGAUCAUCUGACGCAGUUGCUAAGGGAUCCUUAGGAUGAUAGUUUCCUUUUCUCUUGUAUUUGUACUUUGGUUUCUGAAAUUGUACUUAGUGUAAUCCUUCCAAAUUUUAUGAAUAAAAAUAGAUUUUAUGGUCAAUCAAAUUAUUGUUAUUUGAAUAUAAAUUUGCAAAUAGGACUUCAUAUGUUCCUUGAAAUUAAAAAACAUUGCAUUUCAUACAUCAUUUGCACAACACGUUUUCUUCCGCCAGAUGUCUUAUCAGUUCUCCUUCUAUGCAUCAGCCAAGCUGACUCACCGUUACAAUACUCGCGCUAAUCAACCAAGGAUCAUGGAGCAUCUAGAGCAAGAGAGCAGAGAGCUAAAGGACGAGAUCACCAGAUUAACGACUAUGAUGGAAUCUGUCAUUGCUGCAUAUAAUCAAUCUUCACCAUCUUCUGCAACUCCUCCCUAGAUGACUUUUAUUUCUGAGGUUGCUACCUUAACUGUUCCUGUUGCUGCUGCCAUUCAAUCCAUGCCCUCUAUGCCUGCUGGGUUUCCUUGGGGAAUUCCAUCAAAUUUUAUGCCAGAAGGGUAUGCGCCCACCUUUGUUUCUCUGUCGGCAUCUAGCCCGGUCAUGUCAGUGCCUCCCCCGGUUGUUCACACUCUUCCUCGUGUUAAGGAUACUAUCUACCUUUCUGACCCGUCUGAGGGCCCAGAUGUAUAUGAGAAGAUGGAUGAGAUGAAAGAUCAAUUCCUCUAGCUACGUAAAGAGUUGAAUACCUUGAGAGGAAAAUACUUGUUUGGGAAGAGUUCUGUUGAACUUUGCUUGGUCCCCAAUGUUAAGAUCUCGGUGAAAUUCAAGGUCCCAGACUUUGAAAAGUACGAAGGGAAUACUUGCCCACUAAGCCAUCUUGUGAUGUACGUCAGAAAAAUGUCUACUCAUACUGAUAAUGAUCAGUUGUUGAUUCACUAUUUCCAAGACUGUUUAACUAGAGUUGCUUUAAGGUGGUAUAUGGGUUUGGAUAGUGCAAAAAUUCUUACUUUCAACGACUUAGGCGAGGCCUUUGUCAAGCAGUAUAAGUACAACGUGGAUAUGGUGCCUGAUGGAGACCAGAUGAGGUCUAUGUCUCAGAAAGAUAAAGAGACAUUCAAACAAUAUGCCAGAGAUGGAGAGAGCUUGGUGCCCAGACAAGUCCACCUCUUGAAGAGAAAGAGAUGCGAAGAUGUUCUUGAAGAUGUUGAGUUUGUUUUAUUAUGAAUGUAUGAUUGCGGGUGCCCCCAACAAUUUUACCGAAAUGGUAAACAUGGGGAUGAGGCUAGAAGAAGGAGUCCGUGAAGGACAUAUGUCUAAAGAAGAAGCAUCAUCCAACAAGAAAUAUGGUUGGAGUUUCUCCAAGAGGAAGAAAGGAGAAACUAAUUCAGUGUCAGUAGGGAGGCAGAGGAGGCCUCAUGUCAGAAAGAGUUCUCAACCCUGUCAACAUCAGUAUCAAGUUUCCUCAGUAAUUCCGUUUUUUUCCAUCAAUUUCAACAAUCAAUCAGUUCCAAUUCAACAACAACAACAUCAACAACAACUGCAACAAUGAACCAACUACAACAACAAUAAUCAUCAAUAAAACUUUGAGAGGAAGAAGGUCUCCUUUGACCCUAUUCCUAUGAAUUAUGCAAAAUUGUAUCCAUCAUUGGUUCUCAAGAACCUCAUUCAACCAAGAAAUCCUUCGCCGAUUCCUGAGCCAUUACCAUGGUGGUUCAAACCCGACCUUCAUUAUGCUUUUCACUAGGGAGCCCAUGACCAUGACAUAUAAAACUGCUAUCCAUUGAAAUAUGAAGUCCAAAAGCUUAUAAAUAGUGGUAUGGUGUCCUUUGAGGAUAAAUCACUGAAUGUAAAAGCCAAUCCGUUGUCUGCUCAUGGUAACGCUUCUGUCAACAUGGUGGACGGCUGUCCAGGGAAUUUUAGAGUUUUUGAUGUACGACGUAUCCGAAGAUCUCUGGUGGAGAUGCAUAAGACAUUGUGUUUGAUCAGUGAUUGUGAACAUGACCAUGAUGGUUGUGUCAUCUGUAGUGUGAACCCCCGUGGGUGUAUGGUCGUCAAGAGAGAUAUCCAGACGUUGAUGGAUGAGAAUGUAAUCUAGAUUAAAUAGUCAAGGGAUAUAGAUGAUGUGAAUGUUAUUGUACCGGUGUUCAAGACCCAUGAGCGGGUAGUUAUCGAGUUCGAUAGUAGCAACAACAAUAAUGUUAACAGAUCGGUAUCGUCGUUGGUUAUACGGUUAGUGGGCCCUGUCCCGUAUGCAUCCGAUAAAGCUGUGCCAUAUCAAUAUAACGCCAUUAUGAUUGAAGAUGGUCAAGAGGUUCCUCUACCAGUCGCCGACUCAGUGGUGAAUAAUGCAGAUAUUACGAAGGUGACUCGUAGCGGUUGUGUGUCCAGUCCCGUGUUUCCAAAGAUAGUAGAAGAUGUUGCAGCAAGUAAGAAAGCAGAGAUUCCUAUAGUGAAUCCAGUUAGUACUCCAAUGUGUCAAUCUGGUGAAUCCAUCAAAUUGAAGACUAACAAUGAUGAUGAGGUGCUAAAGUUGAUCAAAAGAAGUGAAUUCAAUAUUGUGGAGCAGCUACUCCAGACGCCGUAAAAAAUCUCCAUACUGUCACUGCUAAUGAAUUCUGAAGCACAUAGGGAAGCGUUGCAAAAAGUUCUAGAGCAGGAUUAUGUUGAGCACGAUGUGACCGUGGAUCAGUUUGACCAUAUAGUUGCCAACAUUACUUCUUGUAAUAAUCUGAGUUUUGUGAUGAAGAUCUUCCCGGGGAAGACAUGAAUCACAAUUUGGCACUCCAUAUUUCGAUGAAUUGAAAAGAGGAUGCUCUGUCCAAUGUGCUGGUUGAUACAAAGUCAUCUUUGAACGUGCUCCUGAAAUCAACUCUGUAAAGACUCUCUUAUCAAGGCACCCUAAUGAGGUACAACAACGUGAUUGUCAAAGUGUUCGACGGUUCUCGUAAAACUGUCAUUGGUGAAGUGGACCUUCCAGUGAAGAUAGGUCCGAGUGAUUUCCAUAUUACUUUCCAGGUAAUGGAUAUCCACCCGACCUACAGUUUCUUAUUGGGAAGGCCAUGGAUUCCUGAAGCUGGAGCUGUGACAUCUACUCUACAUCAGAAGCUAAAAUUUGUGAAGAACGACAUGCUUGUUAUUGUUGGUGAAGAGAAGGCAUUGUUAGUGAGCUAUUUGUCAUCUUUCACUUAUUUUGAUGAUGAGGAGAAGAUUGGAACAAAGUUCCAGGCCUUAUCCAUUGCUGAUGAAAUGAAGAAAACUGGGGCACCCAUGUCUUCUUUAAAAGAUGCGCAAGAGGCUAUUCAAGUUGGUAACAUUUACAAGUGGGGUCAUGUUGUGGAGAUUACCGAGAACAAGAAUAGAGCUGGAUUGGGAUUUCAACUAGGGCCAUUCAGUGCCAGAGCCAAAGUUAUGCAACCAAUUUUCUGCAGUGGAGGGUUCAUUAGUGAGAAUGAUCAACACUUAGCCGCCAUUAUUGAAGACAGUGGUGAUGAAGACGAAGCUUGCGCCAACUUUGUGACGCAUGGCCAGACUUGCAACAACUGGAUUGUUGUUGAUGUUCCUGUUUUCAUUCAUCGUUCUAAGUAAUUUGUUUUAUUUAUUUUAAGAAAAUCCUUCUCUUAUGCCUAAGGGAGAAGUGAACAUUGUUGGGCAUUUUAUUAUUAUCAUCAAUAAAAUACGAUUUUAUUCAUCCACAUCUAUGAUGUUUUAUAUUUUCUUUUUGCUUUUUGCUUUUUCUGAAAAUGGUAAUCACAAAAAACAUAACAAAUAGUAAUCUUCCAUCUGCAUAAUAUUUGUUCACACUCCACUUCUCUAAAAUCAAAAUAUCAAAUGAUUAUGCAGGUUGGUUCUCAAACCCAUUGAAUACAAUGAUCCUACUCCCUCUCCAAACUUUGAUUUCCAUGUGUUUGAAGCUAAGGAAGAAAGUGAUGAUGAAGAAAUAUCUGAUGAAUUAUCUCGUUUGCUUAAGCACGAGGAAAAAGUCGUUCAGCCAUUUAAAGAACAAAUUAGUCAACUUGGGUUCCGAGGACGAUGUGAAAGAAGUCAAUAUUGGGUCUCAACUUUGUCUAGAAGCUAAGAAGGGGUUGAUUGAUCUUCUUCGAGAUUAUUCUGAUGUGUUUGCUUGGUCCUAUCAAGACAUGCCAGGGUUGGAUUCUGAGAUUGUGGAGAAUAGAUUGCCGUUGAAGCCAGAAUGUCCGCCAGUCAAGCAGAAGUUAAGAAGAACUCAUCCUGAUAUAGCAGUUAAGAUCAAAGAGGAAGUGCAGAAGCAGAUUGAUGCUGGUUUUCUUGUAACCUCUGAAUAUCCGCAGUGGGUGGCCAAUAUUGUGCAUGUUCCUAAGAAAGAUGGAAAAGUACGCAUCUGUGUUGAUUAUAGAGAUUUGAAUAAAGCUAGUCCAAAAGAUGAUUUUCCUCUGCCACACAUUGAUAUGUUGGUAGACAAUACAUCUAAAUUCAAAGUCUUUUCAUUUAUGGAUGGAUUUUCCAAUUAUAAUCAAAUCAAGAUGGCACCCGAAGAUAUGGAGAAGACCACAUUCAUUACACCCUGGAGAAUAUUCUGUUAUAGAGUGAUGCCUUUCGGUUUAAAGAAUGCUGAUGCAACGUACCAGAGAGCUAUGACCACUCUUUUUCAUGAUAUGAUGCAUAAAGAGAUUAAAAUUUAUGUUGAUGAUAUGAUUGCCAAGUCAAGUGAUGAAGAAGAGCAUGUUGAGCAUUAGUUAAAGUUAUUCCAGCGAUUGAGGAAGUACAAACUCCACUUGAAUCCCAAUAAGUGUACUUUUGGUGUUCGUUCUGGUAAGUUAUUGGACUUUAUUGUCAGUGAGAAGGGUAUUGAAGUUGAUCCUGCCAAGGUCAAAGCAAUACAAGAAAUGCCUGCGCCCAAAACUGAGAAGCAAGUCAGAGGAUUUCUCGGCCGCUUGAAUUAUAUCUCAAGAUUUAUAUCGCAUAUGACUGCCACAUGUGCGCCUAUUUUCAAGCUUCUUCAGAAAGAUCAGUCUUGUGAUUGGACCGAAGAUUACCAUAAAGCUUUUGAUAGUAUCAAAGAGUACUUGCUUGAGCCUCCUAUUUUGUCUCUGCUUGUUGAAGCAAGACCGUUGAUCAUGUAUUUGACUGUGUUGGAUGAUAGUAUGGAUUGUGUUCUUGGUCAGCAAGGUGAAUCGGGAAAGAAAGAAUAUGCAAUUUACUACCUCAGUAAGAAAUUCACCGACUGUGAGACUCGGUAUUCUAUGCUUGAAAAGACAUGUUGUGCAUUGACUUGGGCUGCUAAGCGUCUACGCCAAUAUAUGUUGAACCAUACCACUUGGUUGAUAUCCAAAAUGGAUCCAAUCAAGUAUAUCUUUGAGAAGCCUGCUUUAACUGGGAGGAUUUCCCGUUGGCAGAUGUUGUUAUCUGAGUAUGAUAUUGAAUAUCGAUCUCAGAAAGUUAUCAAGAGUAGUAUCUUAGCAGACCAAUUGGCUCACCAACCGAUUGAAGAUUACCAGUCAGUGCAGUAUGAUUUUCCUAACGAAGAGAUUUUGUACUUGAAAAUGAAAGAUUGUGAUGAACCGCUGCUUGAAGAAGGGCCAGAACCUGGUUCCCGUUGGGGCAUGGUAUUUGAUGGAGUUGUUAAUUCAUAUGUGUCAUACCCCAAUUUGGUCAGGGCAUUUCAAAAUUUUCAUAAAUUUGAUUUAAUUUUCAGUUUUCAUCAUAUCUACAGCAUAACACGCAUUUCAUCAUGAAUAACACAUAAAAUAUCAGUCGGAAUAAAUUCUUGAAAAUACAAACAAGUUGGUUAAAUCAUUCCUCAAGUACGGACAAAAUCAGCGGAUAAAAAAGUUUUGAAAUUAAACUUGCAGACGUCAGUAUUAUUAAUCUAUGGUUCACGUAGUUUAAUCUGGUGUGCUCGUUUUAUUUUUCGACGACUUUUUCAGUCGCAUUUUGAUCCAUCUGAGCCUUUUAACCGGUGAAAAUUUAUUUCAAAAUUUAAAGAAACGCUGUAUUUUUUCAAUAAGUAUAUUUCGUGCUGAUCAUUUUAGUGCGUCUGAUUUAAUUUUUUGAGCAAAUUUUUGCCCGACUUUUAUUCAUUUUUAGUCGUUUUAAUUUUACUCUUUUGCCAAAAUAUUCAGAUUAAAUAAAUAGAAUUUUCCAUGUCCUUAGUUUAUUUUUAUCACAUUAAUUUAAGGAGUUGUCAAUUUUAUUUGAUUUAAUUGAUUUAAAUGGUUUAAAUCAAUUAAAUCAUAUAGAAUGGGCGUUUUAGGCAUUUUAAAUUAUCUAACAACUUUUGUUUCUUUGUGUGUUUCCUUAAGUUAUAUUGGGAUCAUCGGUUCAAAUUUAUCAAUGACCCAUAAUGGCAAUCCUUCUCCAUUUCAUUUCAUCCAAUCAAAAAUAAAAUAAAAUUAAUUGAAUUAAAAAUGACAAAGAAAAUUAGAAAAUAAAAAUAUCUUGUUUCUCCCCAGUAAAGUUGAGCCACACGUCCGUUAUGGAUAAGGAUUAUAUUUUUUUUAACUAAAGAAAAUGAAAUACAACUCAAUAACCUCUGUCCACUAAUGAAUCUCUGUUGGUCUAACGGUAAGAAAGGAAAAAAAACAAAAAGGACAACUAGCCUCCACACUCUCUCAGAGACUCUCUCAUUUUCCAAUGGCUAUAGGUCACAGAAAAAUAAAAUAAAAAGGAAAAAGGGGAACACCGUUCAUGUUCUUUCCCACAACUCCAUUCACUCACGUAGAACGCCAAUCAACCACAAUAAGCCGCCGGAAAACAUUAACUCAUUACAAUCGCCGCCUCCAUAAAACCUCCUUCACACUCACCUCCGCUGCGAACCCGGACCACCGUCCCAUCCAACCUUCCGCCACGAAUCUAAUCCCCACCGUUAUCUUCCCACCAUCACAAAGUCCCCUCUCCAACUUCUCUGUCGCGGCUACAACACCACGACACCCCCCCGUUGCACCGUCGGUGGCAACCCCAAACCAUCCGCCGGCGAACCCUUAUCCGUCUGUCACCAAUUCCGACCACCGCAAAACCAUCUCACUUCGCUCAUUCCAUCUCCGUUCCUUCACCUGCGCAAACUAAGCGCCAUAGUCGCCCAACACACCUCUCCUUCUUCUUCUCUAAGUUCCGCCGGCAAACGAUUCUUCCGUUGGAAACACCAUCACCAUCAUAAAACUCUCCUCAUCAUGGAAUCACAGUCCAUUUCCUUCAUACACCCUCGCCGACAACGUCCAAAACAUUACUCCCUUUUACUACUUCAGAUCUACAAACUCAACCGUCGCCCGUGAAUCCUCCACCGCGACCCACCUUCAACUACCGCAUGAUCCUUUUUCCGACCGACCAACCCCAAGCUACACCAUUCAACAUCGUCAAACACAUGACGCCCAUCGCCGGCGGAAUAUUACAUCUACCUGCACCGUCAAGCCUCUCUCGUUACGGUAUUCUUGCGUCACCGUCAUUUUCCGUGUUUGGUUGGUUUUCCUGUCUUAUCUCUUUCUAUACUCGUUGUUCUAAUGAAUUUCAUGGAAUUGUAGCAUAUCUAUGAUGGUGUAUAUCGAUUAUGCCGGUUAUGUUUCAAUUUCAUCAUGUGACUUUUGUUGACUAUCAUGUUGUUGUGUUUGUUCAUAAGGAAGUUGGAAAAAGUAGCUAAGCACAUGCUUGUGUGGUUUAAUCUCUGUGUUUUUUUAUUAGGAUAUUAGAUUGUUGUGGAUCUUUUAAAUAUUGCAUGUAGUAAUAUAUUGAUUAAUUGGCCAAUAGAUUGUGAGAUAUUAAAAGUCUGUUACGGCUGAUUUUGGUUUGGUAUCUUGCCAAGAAUAUGUAAAUAAAAAGUUAAGUUAUAGCAUAUGAAUGGUGGUAAUCAUAAUUCUGAGUAGUAGUACAUAUAUUGUAAUUAUAUUUUGGUUAUAUCACAGUGUACAUAGAUUGUAAUUAUAAGUUGGUUAAAUUAUAGCAUAUGAACGGUGGUAGUCAUAAUUCUCAGUAGUAGUAUAUAUAUUGUAAUUAUAUUUUGGUUAUAUUACAGUGUACAUAGCUUGUAAUUAUAUUUUGGUUAUAUUAUAGCAUAUGAAUAGUAGUAAUCACAAUUCUGAGUUAAUUAAGUAUUAAUAUUUUAAUUGUAUUAACAAUUGAUUGCUAU
Molecule: long non-coding RNA, 19615 nt
Filed under: Lathyrus oleraceus (garden pea)
Lineage: Eukaryota; Viridiplantae; Streptophyta; Magnoliopsida; Fabales; Fabaceae
Description: Pisum sativum (pea) long non-coding RNA (PSAT_LNC032683)
Source: RNAcentral